UCUCAAGCGUUGUUCGGAUUCCUUGGGCGUAAAGGGUGCGUAGGUGGCGCUGUAAGUCGGGUGUGAAAUUUCGGAGCUUAACUCCGAAACUGCAUUCGAUACUGCGGUGCUUGAGGACUGGAGAGGAGACUGGAAUUCAUGGUGUAGCAGUGAAAUGCGUAGAGAUCAUGAGGAAGACCAGUGGCGAAGGCGGGUCUCUGGACAGUUCCUGACACUGAGGCACGAAGGCCAGGGGAGCAAACGGG
This 245-nucleotide ribosomal RNA is filed under the name uncultured bacterium. Its description in RNAcentral is "partial 16S ribosomal RNA". It matches the Rfam family "Bacterial small subunit ribosomal RNA", at positions 532 to 776 of the family's 1533-position model. The record is from RNAcentral.